UUUGUGACCACCGCUAGGUGGCAGUGGUGUCGAGCGCUAAGGACGCGGGGGAGCGGGUGCUAUUCAAAACAAUGGUCGGCGUCGCGUCGUAGGAUCGUUUGCCUUGUUUUUUGAAAAGUUAAGCCCCUUUGGAGCAGAUUGGAAGGUUUCAGAAGAUGGAGGAAGAUGGCAAGAUCAAAGAGAUGGGUUCAGUUUCCACGGUGUGCUGACUUGAAUUGGCAUCCUGUGAUUUGUGAUGUGAAUUAUGAUGCACGCACUCGCAGGUGCACGCCCACUGCGGACACGUGUGACGUGACGGCAGCAGGCAGCCGAGGUGUGAACUGUGAACUGGCUCGGCCGAAAAUGUUUAAGGUAUUACAGCGUUUGUAACUGACUAACAUACCCACUACGGGCAUACCCAUUGAGCGGAUAAUGCGUUCGUGUGCAUCGUGUUUGCAUUUAUUCCCGAUAUACUCUGGUGGUAGGUGUGAAUUGGAAACCAGCUUGGUGCUACGACAUCGUUUAGUAGGCAUGUGGCACGUCGUUUCUCGAAACCUACCUAUCAGUCUAUGCAAUAAUAUGCAUUGUAUACAUUGUGUGUCAUCGUUCACCUUAGUUGUCAUUGAACCUGUGUUAAAUUCUGAACUUCAGGCCGAGACAGACUAUUUCCACAGUCAGGAAAUCGCACACGAGAACCUAUUCAAAUCCAUUAAGUUGCAAUAGCAUCAAUCGCACGCAAGGAGGUGCGUGUUAUGGAUGCGAGUGCGACCGGGGUUUAUUUGAAUAGGCUCUCGGUCUCGCACAUGAUUUCUGACUGCGGAAAGAAUCGGUUUCAGCCUGUACUCAGUAGGCAAUUCGCUCAUGCGACGGCAAAUAUAAGUUCAAUAUGGAAA
RNAcentral lists this long non-coding RNA (872 nucleotides) under Amphibalanus amphitrite. RNAcentral's name for it is "uncharacterized LOC122377991". The record is from RNAcentral. Lineage: Eukaryota; Metazoa; Arthropoda; Thecostraca; Balanomorpha; Balanidae.